AACAAACGACACGUAGCUCUUUAGCUUUCGCAUUCCGGAUUACACGAGAAAGCGCUAGAAGGACGAGGGGUGUGGUGACACGUAUUGUGUCGUGCUGUUUUGAUUCUUCGAAGUUUUCAAAAAGAAAAAAAAGUUGAUGUUACGUUUGGAUAGCACCAAAAGAAAAUAGCAUAUCUGUGACGGUACUGCCAACAGCUAACAUUGUGGGUGUUCCAAAUUUAGAGCAUAAAAAAUAUUUUUUCCAUCGUUAUGGAACAGCGUUUACAAUAAUGUUCACUGCACUUUGAAAUUAUUUGCAACUGUGCUAAUCAAUGCAAUGUCAUGGUGCAUAAUAUGAAACGAAAACACUUUAAUGAAAAGGAAGACAGAAAGUACGAGAACGUUCCCGUAGAGUAAAAGUGGCCACGAAACCGAAACUGGCUCCCAUUGUGGAUGCAUUGCUGAGCCAAAUGGGUGCCUAUACCAGUCAGCAGGGAUCGCUCACGUUCUUGAAGGCGCUCAUUCACCCAGCAGCAUGACUGAUCUACAUACACUUAGCCACAAGAGAGUCGCCUUGAAGACUACACCUACUCUGCACUCAACCAACUUCAGGUCUGACCGCCGCCUUGGACAGUUGCUUCACAGCCGCUGGGGACUGAGGGCCAAGGGUUAAGUGCUGUAUUCAUGGGAGGUUGUGGCCAGGUGCUGCACUAGGGUGGCCAAUCCUGCUCUGUGGUUACCCGAUCCCUGUGGAAUUAUCGGCAAUGAACGGGCCGAUCAAGCUGCUUGCUCAUGCCACGCAGAAGGCUAUGAACUGCUACUGCUGCUUUAGGACCCAUGCUGCACGGAAGCUCCUCUAGCUUGCACGUCUUCACACCACGUCACAAUAGAAUUAUCCGCACAUGAUGCAUGCCCGAUAGUACUUGCUUGACCCUACAUUAAAUCUUGAAGACCCGUCAAGGCUUCGUCGAGCAGACGUGAGCCUUUUGUGUAGGCUGUUGUUUGGUCUUGCAUUUGCCAACGCGUAUACUUUCCACAUUGGGAUGGCUGGCAAUGUAGCCAGUGACUGCUGUGGCAAUGAAGAAACCAUUGGACCUACCUUUUGUGACUACCUACAGUAUUGUGCGCAAUGACAAUGCCUUUGCAAUGAGCUCGACAAAUCAGACAAUCAACUUCUGUCAAAGCAAAGAAUUUUACACCAUUGCCAGGAUGCAACGUGGCAUCAGAAGGCCCUGCAAACGCUACUGUGCUUUUAGCAAUUGACCAGCCCUUCUGAACAGUUGUAGCCAGAACACCUUUUCUGUAUAUGUGCUUUUGUUUUCACCUGCGUGCACGUACGUUUUUUAAGGGACGAAGCUUCUUAAAGCGUGGGUCUGUACAUCCUCCGAUGUAUGUAUUUGCAGAUAGCCACUUCUGGUUUAGUUUUUGCAGUGCUCACUAGAUGGCGGUACUUGUAGUUGAUAAAUUUAAAACUACAUGGCGGAACUUGUAGUUGAUGCAACGUUACUAGAUCCUGCCAGUUCUCAAACUGCGGAGCUCCACCUGACGCCGUUUCAUUGCGCUUUGCGUGGGGGCGCGCAUGACGGAGUUUGCCUGGCAAUUUGCGGCGAACCGCUAGACACGGACGACCGUUGUAAACAGCCCACUGCAGUGUGCUUAAUAACGUUUGCGCGAGUACCUGCAGAUGUUUGUGGACCAUGCUGGCUAGUGUAUGAACGAUUACACGCUUUUUUAUGCCCGGAUAUAAAAGCGGGUGCGAUUUCAUUCUACCUUCGGGGAACCAAAUGCUAUGCUCGUUUCUGUAGAAGAUGCAUUGACGAUUGCUGGAGAAGCUCAUAGCAGGUUAAAAAGAGCUAGCUUGCGCACUCAAAUUGAAGCUAGGCUAAGAAAUGAUAUCAUUUUCCAUGCAUUACUCCUGACCAAAUGAGUGAUGAGCACAGCUACUUCAAAGGUUCACCAGACGACAGUGCUACUUAGCUGGAUAUGUUGUACACAAAAUGACCGAGCAUAAAGAGUGCCAGUUGUGUCUACAGGACGUUAGUUCAGAAGCUAUUGGCUUUGAUGCAUACUUAACUACGUGCAGGAGCUUCAAGGAAGGCAGCCUUAGACACCCCAGCAUCAAGAUGCUACACUUAAUGAGAGUUGUAAAUGAAUCUAUUUCACUUCCUCUUGAUGAGAAAGGUCUCUGUGCGAACCUGUUUUGGAAUGUCUUGGACGAGUUGGAUUAAUGCAAUCUGACGAGGCUAGAUUGCGACCAGCACAAGCCUACGUUCACAUGUCAGGUCCUGUAUUUUUUCAUCGUGAGACGAAUGCAUAUUUACGCCAGGGAUGUCAACUGACGCCUUGAAACCCGCGAGAAUGUUUUCAUCACCACCAAGAAAGCUCGCCUAUUGUAAAGCCGUUGAACAUUUGCAUUGUGUGCGUGCACGUGUCUUGGGCCUGGGCAAUAAAAGCAUUUUUCGGCACUGAGAA
This 2451-nucleotide long non-coding RNA is filed under the name Rhipicephalus microplus (southern cattle tick). RNAcentral's name for it is "uncharacterized LOC119161605, transcript variant X2". Lineage: Eukaryota; Metazoa; Arthropoda; Arachnida; Ixodida; Ixodidae. The record is from RNAcentral.